GCUGAUCACGCAAUAACUUUAUACUAAGGGUAUAGAAUUUGUCUUACGAACUCUGAUGCACUAAAGAUAUAUGAAUUGUCAGUAUUGCAAUGCCAGGGACAGCAACGCGGUUUGUGUUCGUUCCCUGUGUGCGGAAGGUACUGCUUUGCGCGGCGGCAGCUUUUCCCGUGAGGUGGAGCGCGGUCGGAACUCUGGGACUUCUAUUACGAUUUACGUUGUUUGCUGUGAUCUUUUUAGGAAGGAAAAUCAACCCCGGGGCUUGGGGCUGCCACGCGUCUGUGCGCGAGCAACUUCAACAUCCCCGUUACAUAGGUGAAAGUGACAGGGCGAGGAAGAGGAGGAAGAGGAUCGGAGAGGAGGGGAAGAAGGUGCCCCGUGGAGCUGUUGCCAAAUGCUGGAAGGACAUCCGAGGCUCGGCUUGCGUCAUGCUGCCGACCAACGUUAUUGACGAGGGACGGCACCUCCUUCCUACGUACAAGUAAAUGGCCAAGGAUGCCUGUAAUCCUCUUAUACUCGACGUCAUCACAUGAAGCAGAGGACAACAGCAAUCUCUUGGCGUCGUCACUAAACAUCUGCGUCUUGGAGGUCACGGCAGCUUCCUAACGGUCCCUGAGGAAAGAAGUGACGAUCAGUGCCCCUUGAACGAAGUGGACGAUGAGAAAGUGCGCGUUGAGAACUUUGAACUAACCUGAAACAGACCAGGAACAGUGAUAGGUAGUAUUAGAAAAAAAAAAUCAGUGAUCGUGAACCUGGAAGAACAAUCGUCUAAGUACCAUAAACAGAAACGUCAACCACCACCACCACCACAACAACAACAAGAGCGCCAGCAGCAUCACCAUCGUCAUC
This is a long non-coding RNA of Eriocheir sinensis (Chinese mitten crab), 846 nucleotides long. RefSeq lists it as uncharacterized. Lineage: Eukaryota; Metazoa; Arthropoda; Malacostraca; Decapoda; Varunidae. The record is from RefSeq and is a predicted model, not a curated record. The transcript has 5 exons.